AGCCUGAUACAUUUCAUAUCCUUUUGAUAUAAGGAAAUUUCCAUUAAGUAGCAGUGGUUUUCUAGAGCACUAUGCUGAGAUGGACAGCAAGAUUUUGCUGCAGCUCACCAGCAAGACAUGUAGUGAUGAAUUUGCAAUGUCUUCUGUGAGUAGGAGAGGUAAAGGUGGCAGCAGAUGCUGUAAAUAAUUUUUUCUCCAUCUCUAACAGGUGAAAACAGGACUAAGAAUGGUUUCUGAUUUUGAGAAUUUCAGAAUGAUUGGGGUUGCAUCUUCAUUCCAAACAACUUCAGCUCCAAGAGGACUUUCACAAACAGAGUCUUGCUCUAUCACCAGGCUGGAGUGCAGUGGCAUAAUCUCGGCUCACAGCAACACCCGCCUUCUGGGUUCAACCAUUUUUCUGCCUCAGCCUCCCAAGUAGCUCAACUUGGGACUACAGGGCUACAUACGUGAUAAUUCUAGACCAGCAUCUGACCCUUUUGUGCACUCAGUGAUUGUUAGAAUGGUAAGUAAAUGAAAAAGAGC
Molecule: long non-coding RNA, 522 nt
Filed under: Callithrix jacchus (white-tufted-ear marmoset)
Lineage: Eukaryota; Metazoa; Chordata; Mammalia; Primates; Cebidae
Description: lncRNA (ENSCJAG00000073831.1)
Source: RNAcentral